GACGAACGCUGGCGGCGUGCUUAACACAUGCAAGUCGAACGGAUCGGCCCUGCUUUUUUGGGGUUCUCGAGUGGCGAACGGGUGAGUAACACGUUAGUAACCUGCCCUUGACUUUGGGAUAACUUCAUGAAACUGGUGCUAAUACCGGAUAGGCGCUCCUGCUGCAUGGUUGGUGUUGGAAAGCUUCGGCGGUUGGGGAUGGACUCGCGGUUUAUCAGCUUGUUGGUGGGGUAGUGGCUUACCAAGGCUUUGACGGGUAGCCGGCCUGAGCGGGUGACCGGGGACAUUGGGACUGAGAUACGGCCCAGACUCCUACGGGAGGCAGCAGUGGGGAAUAUUGCACGAUGGGCGGAAGGCUGAUGCAGAAACGACGCGUGCGGGAUGACGGACUUCGGGGUGUAAACCGCUUUCGCCUGUGACGAAGCGUGAGUGAAGGUAAUGGGUAAAGAAGCACCGGCUAACUACGUG
Molecule: ribosomal RNA, 468 nt
Filed under: uncultured bacterium
Lineage: Bacteria
Description: partial 16S ribosomal RNA
Rfam family: Bacterial small subunit ribosomal RNA
Source: RNAcentral